GCACCUAUAGUUUAUCCAAAAUACUAUCUUUGUAAGUUAGAGAAGCCUGCUAGGAGCA
RNAcentral lists this transfer RNA (58 nucleotides) under Epipenaeon fissurae. RNAcentral describes it as "tRNA-Thr". Lineage: Eukaryota; Metazoa; Arthropoda; Malacostraca; Isopoda; Bopyridae. The record is from RNAcentral.